This 578-nucleotide ribosomal RNA is filed under the name uncultured bacterium. RNAcentral's name for it is "partial 16S ribosomal RNA". It matches the Rfam family "Bacterial small subunit ribosomal RNA", at positions 355 to 926 of the family's 1533-position model. The record is from RNAcentral.
UGGGGAAUUUUGGACAAUGGGCGAAAGCCUGAUCCAGCAAUGCCGCGUGUGUGAAGAAGGCCUUCGGGUUGUAAAGCACUUUUGUCCGGAAAGAAAUCCUUGGCUCUAAUACAGUCGGGGGAUGACGGUACCGGAAGAAUAAGCACCGGCUAACUACGUGCCAGCAGCCGCGGUAAUACGUAGGGUGCAAGCGUUAAUCGGAAUUACUGGGCGUAAAGCGUGCGCAGGCGGUUUGCUAAGACCGAUGUGAAAUCCCCGGGCUCAACCUGGGAACUGCAUUGGUGACUGGCAGGCUAGAGUAUGGCAGAGGGGGGUAGAAUUCCACGUGUAGCAGUGAAAUGCGUAGAGAUGUGGAGGAAUACCGAUGGCGAAGGCAGCCCCCUGGGCCAAUACUGACGCUCAUGCACGAAAGCGUGGGGAGCAAACAGGAUUAGAUACCAUGGUAGUCCACGCCCUAAACGAUGUCAACUAGUUGUUGGGGAUUCAUUUCCUUAGUAACGUAGCUAACGCGUGAAGUUGACCGCCUGGGGAGUACGGUCGCAAGAUUAAAACUCAAAGGAAUUGACGGGGUCAUAGCU